Molecule: non-coding RNA, 30 nt
Filed under: Rattus norvegicus (Norway rat)
Lineage: Eukaryota; Metazoa; Chordata; Mammalia; Rodentia; Muridae
Source: RNAcentral
UCCAAUCGCAGCUCCAGUGCUGGUGACAGG